Molecule: long non-coding RNA, 812 nt
Filed under: Heterocephalus glaber (naked mole-rat)
Lineage: Eukaryota; Metazoa; Chordata; Mammalia; Rodentia; Bathyergidae
Description: lncRNA (ENSHGLG00100048207.1)
Source: RNAcentral
AGACCAAGCCCAGGGCCUAGCGCAGAAGCGGGUCCUGGGCCUGAGUCCCGCUGGCUUCCCGGGUGCAGGCUCCACCAGGGAGAAGCAGCGGCCCUUCCUCUCUCUGGCUUGCCCUGGGGAGAGGGGCGAGAGGAGGCAAUUCCGAAAGCCCCUCAUUGUGCGGAGUGGCUUUUUCUUUCUUUUCUGCAUCACAUGCACUGAAUGCCAUUUUUCAAAGUGCUCCCAGAGGGGCGGGCAGCCAGGUGAUUUCCCAGAAGCCGGAGGAAGAGCCACAGGACGCAAGGCCCACAUAGCUCAGGGGACUUCAGGGAGGGCCACACCACUGCUGCUUACAGGAACUCGGAGCUUCCUGCCUUGGCAGUCAUCCGGGGAGAAUUGUUACAGCACGGGCAGGGCCUAGGAGAGAGCUGCAGUGCAGCGGGCGAGAGGCGGAUCCAGCUCCUAGGUGCUGAGGUCUGCGGUGUGGACAUGGGAGGCCCACGGUUGGCGACACGGACACUGUCGGGGAGGGUGCUCAGCAUUGCUCACCUCCCUGGGCCCAGGACAUCACCGUGUGAUGGUCAGCCACCCUGUGGGGCGUCUGAUGGUCACACAGAGGGUGGCCACAGACCUGGGGCUACGGCUUAGCCCUGCUCCCGCCUCGCUCCUGGGACUGCUUGGUUGGGGGUGAAGGGGUGGUGUGGGAGAAGGGACCGCGGUGUCGAACACGGCCAGGGUCACCCCAUCCAGGCUGUGAGGGGAGUUUCACCUGCAGGGACAGCUUCCUGACCAGGACCAGAGCCAGCGAGCAGCACUCGCCUCACUCCCAACAG